Molecule: transfer RNA, 75 nt
Filed under: Omnitrophica bacterium GWA2_41_15
Lineage: Bacteria; Pseudomonadati; Candidatus Omnitrophota
Description: tRNA-Met
Rfam family: tRNA
About the family: Transfer RNA (tRNA) molecules are approximately 80 nucleotides in length. Their secondary structure includes four short double-helical elements and three loops (D, anti-codon, and T loops). Further hydrogen bonds mediate the characteristic L-shaped molecular structure. tRNAs have two regions of fundamental functional importance: the anti-codon, which is responsible for specific mRNA codon recognition, and the 3' end, to which the tRNAs corresponding amino acid is attached (by aminoacyl-tRNA synthetases). tRNAs cope with the degeneracy of the genetic code in two manners: having more than one tRNA (with a specific anti-codon) for a particular amino acid; and 'wobble' base-pairing, i.e. permitting non-standard base-pairing at the 3rd anti-codon position.
Source: RNAcentral
CGCGGGGUGGAGAAGUGGCAUCUCGCCAGGCCCAUAACCUGGAGAUCGCAGGUUCAAAUCCUGCCCCCGCAACCA